GAUGAACGCUGGCGGCGUGCCUAAUACAUGCAAGUCGAGCGAACGGACGAGAAGCUUGCUUCUCUGAUGUUAGCGGCGGACGGGUGAGUAACACGUGGAUAACCUACCUAUAAGACUGGGAUAACUUCGGGAAACCGGAGCUAAUACCGGAUGAUAUUUUGAACCGCAUGGUUCAAAAGUGAAAGACGUUCUUGCUGUCACUUAUAGAUGGAUCCGCGCUGCAUUAGCUAGUUGGUAAGGUAAUGGCUUACCAAGGCAACGAUGCAUAGCCGACCUGAGAGGGUGAUCGGCCACACUGGAACUGAGACACGGUCCAGACUCCUACGGGAGGCAGCAGUAGGGAAUCUUCCGCAAAGGGCGAAAGCCUGACGGAGCAACGCCGCGUGAGUGAUGAAGGUCUUCGGAUCGUAAAACUCUGUUAUUAGGGAAGAACAUAUGUGUAAGUAACUGUGCACAUCUUGACGGUACCUAAUCAGAAAGCCACGGCUAACUACGUG
Molecule: ribosomal RNA, 497 nt
Filed under: uncultured bacterium
Lineage: Bacteria
Description: partial 16S ribosomal RNA
Rfam family: Bacterial small subunit ribosomal RNA
Source: RNAcentral